Molecule: ribosomal RNA, 460 nt
Filed under: Pseudomonas aeruginosa
Lineage: Bacteria; Pseudomonadati; Pseudomonadota; Gammaproteobacteria; Pseudomonadales; Pseudomonadaceae
Description: bacterial SSU rRNA
Rfam family: Bacterial small subunit ribosomal RNA
Source: RNAcentral
AUGCAAGUCGAGCGGAUGAAGGGAGCUUGCUCCUGGAUUCAGCGGCGGACGGGUGAGUAAUGCCUAGGAAUCUGCCUGGUAGUGGGGGAUAACGUCCGGAAACGGGCGCUAAUACCGCAUACGUCCUGAGGGAGAAAGUGGGGGAUCUUCGGACCUCACGCUAUCAGAUGAGCCUAGGUCGGAUUAGCUAGUUGGUGGGGUAAAGGCCUACCAAGGCGACGAUCCGUAACUGGUCUGAGAGGAUGAUCAGUCACACUGGAACUGAGACACGGUCCAGACUCCUACGGGAGGCAGCAGUGGGGAAUAUUGGACAAUGGGCGAAAGCCUGAUCCAGCCAUGCCGCGUGUGUGAAGAAGGUCUUCGGAUUGUAAAGCACUUUAAGUUGGGAGGAAGGGCAGUAAGUUAAUACCUUGCUGUUUUGACGUUACCAACAGAAUAAGCACCGGCUAACUACGUGCCC